AAUAAAGCCACCAGUGGACUGCAUAAGAAACACGCUGGAGUCAACAGUAAUCAAUUGAAAACUUGAUUAAGGUUAGCUAGAGUUUUAAUGAUGCAUCAUUUUUAUCAACAGAGAAGAUGCAUGUCUGUAUCUGUGUUCUGACAAUAUUAUUAUUCAGUAAUAAUAUACAACAUUUUCCGAGAUACCAAAGUUUCAGCAAAGAAUAUAAAGAUGGAACAGACCUCCACAAGAGCAACAAAUGUAGCCAUCAUCAUGGCAAAAGCUUCACCCG
This 271-nucleotide long non-coding RNA is filed under the name Daucus carota (carrot). Its description in RNAcentral is "long non-coding RNA (DCAR_LNC005283)". The record is from RNAcentral. Lineage: Eukaryota; Viridiplantae; Streptophyta; Magnoliopsida; Apiales; Apiaceae.